This 1350-nucleotide long non-coding RNA is filed under the name Papio anubis (olive baboon). RNAcentral's name for it is "lncRNA (ENSPANG00000039629.1)". Lineage: Eukaryota; Metazoa; Chordata; Mammalia; Primates; Cercopithecidae. The record is from RNAcentral.
GUUAGUGAGCAAAAGUAACUGAAUGCAAUAUAUUUACCGACAAUAGUGCCUGAGCUUUGUAAGCCACAGUAUUGAUUUACUUCUUUCAAAACCAAAGUGACAGCAAAAGGGGGUGAAAAAUCACAUGAUUCAGGGAAGAUAUCUGAGGAUUUAAAAGUGGCAAACACAAAUCCAUUAGUUUUAAAAUGGGUCAAGAGACAAACCAGAAAAACUGUAGACUAGCAAAUCAGUGAAUUCAACCUUUAUUGUAGAGAAAAUACAAGAUAUUGUGUGAGGGAGAAUGUGGGAGGAAAGAAGUCAGGAAAGGGGUUGGAAAAAUAACAGCUUUAUGAAUCUACACCCAAUUUUCAUCAAGAAAGCAGAAACUUACGUCUUCUAAGGAGCUUUUGUGUAUGCUUUUGCUUGGCUGCUAAAAAUAAAUAACUAAAAGACCCAUGAUGAAUCCGUGGGGCAAGAUUAAAAAGACUGAAAAUCAACAAAAACAGACAGAAUUGGGAGAUCAAUGAGCUCAGGAUCUGAGGCUGGAAUAAGGAUGGGAUGCUGGCUCCCAACUGGGCAUCUUAUACUCGGUCUACUGACUCACGUUCAUCUUCUCCAAGAACACCCUCACAGACACACCUGGAGAAGCUCAAUCAUUCUAAUCAAAAUGAAAACCACCUGGAAUUCCCUUUCAGCAGAAGAGGAAUGGGUUCAGUUCCUACUGAAGCACUGAGAAUAAAUAACCCUUUACCAGCUACCUGAGUAUUCCUUAAUUUAGUCAAGUUUCAUCCAAAAUCAACCAUCACAACUUAUUUUCAAAUGUUGAGCUAGCUUUACAUUCUUUAGAUUAGGUCCUGCUUGUUCAUGAUAUAUUGUACUUUUGUAUCAAGCUACAUUUUAUUUAAAAUACUGUGAAAGUUGUUUGAGCCCGUGUUCAUUAGGGAUAUAGUUCUAAUUUUCCAUUCAAUAUCUUUGUUUGGUUAUGGUACCAAGUUAACAUUGACCUCGUAAAAUGAGUUGAGGAGCGUUUUCUUCUCUAUAUUUUGGAAAAGUUUUUGAAGGAUUUAUACUAUUUCUUUCUUACAGAUUUGUUUGAGCUUCCCAGUUAAGCCAUCUAGUUUAGAGUUUUGUGUGUGUGUGUUUGUUUAACACAUUUUGACUAUUAAUUAAAUGUUUUAAAUACAGAACUAUUUGGGUGAUCGAGUUAUUUUUAAGUUAAUUUGGCAGAUUGUGUCUCCAAGAUUUUGUCUAUUUUAUUUAACAUAAAACUUAUUGGCAUAAAAUCUUCCAUAAUUUGUUGUUUUUAUGUGUUAAUGUAAUAAAUCUGUUGUGAUGUUCCAUCUUUAAUUAUUGACAUUGGUAGUUUGUGUC